GUCUACGGCCAUACCACCCUGAAUGCGCCCGAAAUCGUCUGAUCUCAGAAGCUAAGCAGGGUCGGGCCUGUUUAGUACUUGGAUGGGAAACUUUAAGGAUGAAUUCCAACACAGGGCAGUUAAGA
This 125-nucleotide ribosomal RNA is filed under the name Microtus ochrogaster (prairie vole). The record is from RNAcentral. Lineage: Eukaryota; Metazoa; Chordata; Mammalia; Rodentia; Cricetidae.